RNAcentral lists this ribosomal RNA (147 nucleotides) under Cercozoa sp. RNAcentral describes it as "partial small subunit ribosomal RNA". It matches the Rfam family "Eukaryotic small subunit ribosomal RNA", at positions 1296 to 1461 of the family's 1831-position model. Lineage: Eukaryota; Cercozoa. The record is from RNAcentral.
AGUUGGUGGAGUGAUUUGUCUGGUUAAUUCCGUUAACGAACGAGACCUCGACCUGCUAAAUAGUUCGGCGAACGCUUUGUGUUCGUACGUGACUUCUUAGAGGGACUAUCGGUGUGUAGCCGAUGGAAGUUCGAGGCAAUAACAGGU